RNAcentral lists this ribosomal RNA (1929 nucleotides) under Triticum aestivum (bread wheat). RNAcentral describes it as "partial small subunit ribosomal RNA". Lineage: Eukaryota; Viridiplantae; Streptophyta; Magnoliopsida; Poales; Poaceae. The record is from RNAcentral.
AUGGAGCUGUCCCUCAUAUACGACGUCAUGCACACCAAGGCGGCCAUCACACACAGCUGGCCGGGUUACUGCAUCCGCGUCAUCUCGCCGCUCUUCACCGCCGCCACAUUGCUGCUCUUCCGGUCCCACAGCAAAGUCGGUGAGAGUGGUGCAGAUGUCAUGGUGACAUACGCCUUGCUCCUUGUGACACUCGUCCUUGAUGUCGGGUGGCUAUUCGGAACGCUAGGGUCCACAUGGACAUGUGCAUUCCUGAGGCAUAGGUCGCAUGGGCUAGUUUCACAAAAAGAAGAAGAAGAAGAAGAAGAAGAAGAAGAAGAAGAGACCGCCAAAGCUUCGCCGCUCCAACCUAAAAAAAAAUUAUUGAUCGGUGCCCUAAGGAGACAGGGGGAGUUGGGCAAAGUUCUUGGUAUCGGCCCUGAGUUUCCAGAGUUGGUCCUUGGGUGGCACGUGGCAACCGAAAUCUCCCUCCUGUGCAGGACGAGGGCCUGUCGAACUAUAUAUAUGAUGUUCCUCGUCGCUGUACGCCCCGGCAUGCUACCGGGCCUCAACCUCCGCAGCAUGCUCGACGGCACGCGGGACGCAUUGGACCGUGCUGCGGCUGAGGAUCCUCAAGCCAAGGAAGUGGAAGCGACUAAGAGUGGAAACCGUGCCCGCGACUCGAAUACCAUUCUCUCGGAAGGAGCGUUCUACGCCGAGGUAAUGCUCUUCCGGAUGGGGGCAUAUUGCUCCUGGGUUUGGCCCCACGGCAAGUGGUCCAAGGAUCACAGGGAUAGAUGGACGUGGCAUAUUGAUAGUUUAAGCAUUAUGGAGAGCCUGGACCUGGACCUCAGCUUACUGAGAAAUAGUUUGGUCUCAGUCACGCGCGCUGCAAAAACAGAGAUGCAGGACCAUGCAUGCGUCCUUUGCAUGUGCAUGGUGGGACCCAAGAUUGGAAAAUACGAACUCCAAAUAAACACAAUACUGCAAAGGUUUUCCAAAUACUCUAUGCCGUGGCGCAUUAUGAUUGGGCGUAGUCCGCCGGUACCUCCUGACACCGGUAAAAAGAGGUUUGCGAGCACGUCCCAGUGCCAAGUCAGCAAAAAAAUUGUUCAGGAUUUUCUCGAACUGACCGAACGACCACGUCUCCUCCCCUUCCCUUAUCCAUUGAGCCACACACACAGGCCACUCACACCCCAGUGGCAAGGCGGAGGGAGCGGCACCUCCGGUGAUUCCCAACGGGCAUUGCAGGGGAAGAGCGGCGAUCCCCAGCGUGCACAGCCGGGGACAGGGGCGAUUCAGGUGGUUCCGGCGCAGAACGGAGGCGGAGGCCCAGCGACGAGCUUCCUGGGACAGCGCCAUGGACGCAUCCGCGAUUGGGCGACACGAUGGUCUCCUCCCCGGCAGUGUCCUCUCGUCGGCGAAGAGAGACUCGCCCUCCACGGGCUCUCGCCGCAGUGUGAGGAGUCGCUGAGGGAGGGGGCGGUGCCGUCUUCAGGUGAGGCGGGGCGCGCCUAUGGCGCCGCCCACGAGCCGGAGGCCCUCCUCAAUUUGCGCAUGCUCGGUUGCUCUUCCACGCCGACGACGAGGAGGCCCUCUUGCUCUUCCGAGAUGACGACGGGGACCGAUGAGGCUCAAGGCGGAGGCGGCUGUGGACCACUGGUCGUUGACGACGGGGCCGUGCUCCGCCUGCUCAAGGCUCACGCAUACAAUAUACACCAUGGAGCUGAAUUCAAGAUAUGUCAUGGCAGUUUCAACCCCACAGUUACCUGCCCCGUCGAGGAGCGCCGCCCCUAUGAGGAUAUCCCCCGGUUUGAGUGUGACGGCCUCGACAGCCUCCCGAUCGCCCCACCCCCUGCGUUGGAUUCUGAUUUCCUUGUCAGUGUGAUGAUGCUUGCGAUUUGCAAGGGCAUCGGAGCUCUGUGGGUUACUCGACGAAGGCAAAUCAGGUGA